RNAcentral lists this unclassified non-coding RNA (28 nucleotides) under Mus musculus (house mouse). RNAcentral describes it as "oocyte_clustered_small_RNA3762". Lineage: Eukaryota; Metazoa; Chordata; Mammalia; Rodentia; Muridae. The record is from RNAcentral.
UGAAGCAGAAUUAACAUCAGGAUAUGAG